UGGGGAAUAUUGCACAAUGGGGGAAAGCCCUGAUGCAGCGACGCCGCGUGAGCGAAGAAGUAUCUCGGUAUGUAAAGCUCUAUCAGCAGGGAAGAAAAUGACGGUACCUGACUAAGAAGCCCCGGCUAACUACGUGCCAGCAGCCGCGGUAAUACGUAGGGGGCAAGCGUUAUCCGGAUUUACUGGGUGUAAAGGGAGCGUAGACGGCAAUGCAAGUCUGAAGUGAAAGGACGGGGCUUAACCCUGUGACUGCUUUGGAAACUGUGUAGCUUGAGUGCCGGAGGGGUAAGCGGAAUUCCUAGUGUAGCGGUGAAAUGCGUAGAUAUUAGGAGGAACACCAGUGGCGAAGGCGGCUUACUGGACGGUAACUGACGUUGAGGCUCGAAAGCGUGGGGAGCAAACAGGAUUAGAUACC
Molecule: ribosomal RNA, 415 nt
Filed under: uncultured bacterium
Lineage: Bacteria
Description: bacterial SSU rRNA
Rfam family: Bacterial small subunit ribosomal RNA
Source: RNAcentral